This 2588-nucleotide ribosomal RNA is filed under the name Escherichia coli UMEA 3065-1. RNAcentral describes it as "bacterial LSU rRNA". It matches the Rfam family "Bacterial large subunit ribosomal RNA", at positions 354 to 2925 of the family's 2925-position model. Lineage: Bacteria; Pseudomonadati; Pseudomonadota; Gammaproteobacteria; Enterobacterales; Enterobacteriaceae. The record is from RNAcentral.
GCGAUACAGGGUGACAGCCCCGUACACAAAAAUGCACAUAUUGUGAGCUCGAUGAGUAGGGCGGGACACGUGGUAUCCUGUCUGAAUAUGGGGGGACCAUCCUCCAAGGCUAAAUACUCCUGACUGACCGAUAGUGAACCAGUACCGUGAGGGAAAGGCGAAAAGAACCCCGGCGAGGGGAGUGAAAAAGAACCUGAAACCGUGUACGUACAAGCAGUGGGAGCACGCUUAGGCGUGUGACUGCGUACCUUUUGUAUAAUGGGUCAGCGACUUAUAUUCUGUAGCAAGGUUAACCGAAUAGGGGAGCCGAAGGGAAACCGAGUCUUAACUGGGCGUUAAGUUGCAGGGUAUAGACCCGAAACCCGGUGAUCUAGCCAUGGGCAGGUUGAAGGUUGGGUAACACUAACUGGAGGACCGAACCGACUAAUGUUGAAAAAUUAGCGGAUGACUUGUGGCUGGGGGUGAAAGGCCAAUCAAACCGGGAGAUAGCUGGUUCUCCCCGAAAGCUAUUUAGGUAGCGCCUCGUGAAUUCAUCUCCGGGGGUAGAGCACUGUUUCGGCAAGGGGGUCAUCCCGACUUACCAACCCGAUGCAAACUGCGAAUACCGGAGAAUGUUAUCACGGGAGACACACGGCGGGUGCUAACGUCCGUCGUGAAGAGGGAAACAACCCAGACCGCCAGCUAAGGUCCCAAAGUCAUGGUUAAGUGGGAAACGAUGUGGGAAGGCCCAGACAGCCAGGAUGUUGGCUUAGAAGCAGCCAUCAUUUAAAGAAAGCGUAAUAGCUCACUGGUCGAGUCGGCCUGCGCGGAAGAUGUAACGGGGCUAAACCAUGCACCGAAGCUGCGGCAGCGACGCUUAUGCGUUGUUGGGUAGGGGAGCGUUCUGUAAGCCUGUGAAGGUGUACUGUGAGGUAUGCUGGAGGUAUCAGAAGUGCGAAUGCUGACAUAAGUAACGAUAAAGCGGGUGAAAAGCCCGCUCGCCGGAAGACCAAGGGUUCCUGUCCAACGUUAAUCGGGGCAGGGUGAGUCGACCCCUAAGGCGAGGCCGAAAGGCGUAGUCGAUGGGAAACAGGUUAAUAUUCCUGUACUUGGUGUUACUGCGAAGGGGGGACGGAGAAGGCUAUGUUGGCCGGGCGACGGUUGUCCCGGUUUAAGCGUGUAGGCUGGUUUUCCAGGCAAAUCCGGAAAAUCAAGGCUGAGGCGUGAUGACGAGGCACUACGGUGCUGAAGCAACAAAUGCCCUGCUUCCAGGAAAAGCCUCUAAGCAUCAGGUAACAUCAAAUCGUACCCCAAACCGACACAGGUGGUCAGGUAGAGAAUACCAAGGCGCUUGAGAGAACUCGGGUGAAGGAACUAGGCAAAAUGGUGCCGUAACUUCGGGAGAAGGCACGCUGAUAUGUAGGUGAAGUCCCUUGCGGAUGGAGCUGAAAUCAGUCGAAGAUACCAGCUGGCUGCAACUGUUUAUUAAAAACACAGCACUGUGCAAACACGAAAGUGGACGUAUACGGUGUGACGCCUGCCCGGUGCCGGAAGGUUAAUUGAUGGGGUUAGCGCAAGCGAAGCUCUUGAUCGAAGCCCCGGUAAACGGCGGCCGUAACUAUAACGGUCCUAAGGUAGCGAAAUUCCUUGUCGGGUAAGUUCCGACCUGCACGAAUGGCGUAAUGAUGGCCAGGCUGUCUCCACCCGAGACUCAGUGAAAUUGAACUCGCUGUGAAGAUGCAGUGUACCCGCGGCAAGACGGAAAGACCCCGUGAACCUUUACUAUAGCUUGACACUGAACAUUGAGCCUUGAUGUGUAGGAUAGGUGGGAGGCUUUGAAGUGUGGACGCCAGUCUGCAUGGAGCCGACCUUGAAAUACCACCCUUUAAUGUUUGAUGUUCUAACGUUGACCCGUAAUCCGGGUUGCGGACAGUGUCUGGUGGGUAGUUUGACUGGGGCGGUCUCCUCCUAAAGAGUAACGGAGGAGCACGAAGGUUGGCUAAUCCUGGUCGGACAUCAGGAGGUUAGUGCAAUGGCAUAAGCCAGCUUGACUGCGAGCGUGACGGCGCGAGCAGGUGCGAAAGCAGGUCAUAGUGAUCCGGUGGUUCUGAAUGGAAGGGCCAUCGCUCAACGGAUAAAAGGUACUCCGGGGAUAACAGGCUGAUACCGCCCAAGAGUUCAUAUCGACGGCGGUGUUUGGCACCUCGAUGUCGGCUCAUCACAUCCUGGGGCUGAAGUAGGUCCCAAGGGUAUGGCUGUUCGCCAUUUAAAGUGGUACGCGAGCUGGGUUUAGAACGUCGUGAGACAGUUCGGUCCCUAUCUGCCGUGGGCGCUGGAGAACUGAGGGGGGCUGCUCCUAGUACGAGAGGACCGGAGUGGACGCAUCACUGGUGUUCGGGUUGUCAUGCCAAUGGCACUGCCCGGUAGCUAAAUGCGGAAGAGAUAAGUGCUGAAAGCAUCUAAGCACGAAACUUGCCCCGAGAUGAGUUCUCCCUGACUCCUUGAGAGUCCUGAAGGAACGUUGAAGACGACGACGUUGAUAGGCCGGGUGUGUAAGCGCAGCGAUGCGUUGAGCUAACCGGUACUAAUGAACCGUGAGGCUUAACCUU